AUGGGCAAGCAGAUGCCGAACUGUAGCCGUGGACUUCUGCUUCUGUUGUUGGCCCUUCUAGGCUGUUUUAGCAUUCCUGGCCACGUGUAUGGUAAUAAUCUGGAUUACACCAGGAGUGCCACCAUGAAUGAAGGACGCAACAAUGUCAAUAUAAAUGGUUUGGUACCUGUACCAUGCAACAUUUUCUCCCCAUCGAAGGUCUGUUGUAGAAAUGUAUGCUACCCUAGCUUGCAAGCCUGUGAGGCAAAUUGCAAGCCAAUUGUUUGAUCAGCUUAUC
RNAcentral lists this long non-coding RNA (277 nucleotides) under Oryza sativa Indica Group (long-grained rice). Its description in RNAcentral is "lncRNA OsMH63_04G002030". Lineage: Eukaryota; Viridiplantae; Streptophyta; Magnoliopsida; Poales; Poaceae. The record is from RNAcentral.